UGGGGGAAAAACUCAAAGGUUGAGUGUUAGUUUGUCACAUUAGAAGUUGCGGGUUCGAGUCCCGUUUCUCCCGU
RNAcentral lists this transfer RNA (74 nucleotides) under Sheathia arcuata. RNAcentral's name for it is "tRNA-Asp". It matches the Rfam family "tRNA". Rfam says of the family: Transfer RNA (tRNA) molecules are approximately 80 nucleotides in length. Their secondary structure includes four short double-helical elements and three loops (D, anti-codon, and T loops). Lineage: Eukaryota; Rhodophyta; Florideophyceae; Batrachospermales; Batrachospermaceae. RNAcentral also lists the same sequence under 1 other name. The record is from RNAcentral.